ACUGCAUCAAGAGCGGCGGAGGGACAGGCCCGAUGAAGCCCGGCAACCAGCAACCUGCAUGGUGCUAAUUCCUAGGAGAUGUGGU
RNAcentral lists this non-coding RNA (85 nucleotides) under Acetohalobium arabaticum. RNAcentral describes it as "SAM-I sequence". It matches the Rfam family "SAM riboswitch aptamer (S box leader)". Rfam says of the family: The SAM riboswitch is found upstream of a number of genes which code for proteins involved in methionine or cysteine biosynthesis in Gram-positive bacteria. Lineage: Bacteria; Bacillati; Bacillota; Clostridia; Halanaerobiales; Halobacteroidaceae. RNAcentral also lists the same sequence under 1 other name. The record is from RNAcentral.